AUGGAUGCCAAGAAGGGAGCUCUGCCUUACCCACCUCCCUUAGAUAAUGACAAUUAUUCAUCUUGGUCUGUAAAGAUGAAGGCCCUGCUGCAGAAUCAGAGGCUUUUUGAUGUAAUUGAAAACCCCAUCCCUGCAGCACCAACCGGAGGUUGGGAAUCACGGAACGUGAAGGACAGGGGGAGGGAAGAACAGAGUUCUAAUUUCCCCACUGCUGAAUCUACUGGAGAGCGUGUUGCAGCAUUGAGUGCCGUCCGAUGUCACAAUUGUGGACAGACUGGGCAUCUACAGCGGAACUGUAGGAAGCCGCGACAGUCAAGAGGAGCAAAGAGCAGCUCAACGAAGCCUGAGGCGUCAGGCAAAAGCCAUACCAAGUGCCAGGUGAAACCUGCAAAGGCUAUGAUGGUGAAAGGAACCACGCCAGAUGUUGGGAACGCAUUCAUAAUCGACACGGGAUGCACGAAACAUUUGUGCCCGCACCGAGAACUGUUUUCGACGUUGAAGAAGCAAAGCUUCACUGUGAAACAGGCCAACGGUCAGGAAUUGGAAGCGACCGGAAUUGGGACUGUGUAUCUUGAGAGUCUGAACUUGACUAUAAGUGAUGUUUACCUGGUUCCAGAACUGAGAUUUAAUCUGCUGAGUGUGUCGCAGAUUGCGAAGAAAGGACUGAAACUGUCCUAUGAUGCUAAAAGAUGCAAGAUCUACAAAGAUGGAGAACUGUUUCUUACUGCCAGAGAGAAAGAUGGACUGUAUUUGUUGACUUUUGAUCAAAGUGAUUACAUGAAAUGUAAUUCUUCUGAUUCUAACGCAAUUUCUCUUGCAGGUGUGACCAAUAAGAGCACCAGGAAGGUGACUAAGAAGGUCCACAAAGCAUUUCAGUGUUGGUGUAAAGCAGAGUCCCGUGCCCAGCGGAAGGAUGAGGAGUACGUACUACAUACUCUAUAUUGCUUUAUUUACAGUUCAAAGCUGGUAUAUUACAGAAAAACAUCUUGCCUCUGCCGGAGCAGGAAAAGCAUCCUCUCUCCUCGACAGCUUGGAGAGAAUCACCCAGUGAAAAACAGGAAACCAGUGUACGUCACAUCCAGUCUCCCUUUCCCGUGAGAAACUCCAACAGUACAGACUGUGGAAUGUAAACACCUGUCUCGUGACAAGCCCUUUCGCUGCACAGUGAAGGAAAGCAGAAACCAACAUCCUCCCCCUUUCUGUGAACAUCACUGGGCAGCGUGUUCAUACAAUAUCAGUACAAACCCAACUUCUGCACAAAGGUACAGUGUUGAUCCCUUGAUACAAUCUUGGACAAUACAUCAGCAGGAAUUUCAUUACCUGGCAUAUAGGACACCGUUACGAGUCCCUUCUGAAUACAUUCCUUAGCAUGCUGCAACUUUAAUUGCAAGUGCUUUGUGCUUUGCUUACAACCUUCAGACUUCAGCAAAGCCAAACAUGCUUUGUUGUCCUGGUAAACCUGGAUUGGACAUUUGACAGGAAUUUUCAUAUCUUUGCACAAUUGUACUAACCAUUCACAAUCUUUAAGUGAAUAAGACAGUGCAUUCAGUUCAGCUUCACAAGUACUUAAGCUAACUGUUGUUUGCUUCUUGCAUGACCAAUCAAACAGACCCUGAUUGUACAUGUAGCAAACUCCAGACGUACUUUUCCUGUCUGCAGUGUCACUUCCAAAACUUGCAUCUGCAAAUAUCUCAAGACCACCAGACUUCUGAUUGUUAAAUCUCAGUCUGUAAUGCAUAGUGCCUUUCAAAUACCGCGCUAUGCGUUUCAGAGCUUUCCAAUCCUUGACACUAGGAUUGUUGACUUGUCUGCUUAGCAAAUUACAGCUAACAGCAAUGUCAGGUCUUGAACAUCUGGCAAUGAAGUUUAGCUUGCCUAGCACACUUCUGUACUGUGUAGUGUCAGAAAAUGCUUCUUCAGUGUCAUCUAUCUGAUAACCUGUUGUCAUCGGUGUGUCUACAGGGUUAGCAUCCAUCAGGUUUAGUUUGCUUAACACAUCAGCAAUUUUCCGUGACUGGUGUACUAGAAUGUUACCAUCUUGAUCUCUCUCUAUUUCCAGAGAUAGGUAGUUGUUUACCUCACCAAGAUCUUUCAUGUCAAAGUGCUCUUUCAGUUGAGCUAGGGCGUUAUUGUACAUUGUGACAUCUUUCCAGAAGAAUAAUAAAUCAUCAACAUAAAACAAACAGUACAGUUUCUUUUGCCCCUCCUCUUUGACAAAUACACAUGGAUCAGCUUUCCCUUGCUGAAAACCUAGAGAAAACAAUACUUCAGUGAGUUUUGUGUGCCAACACCGUGCACUUUGUUUGAGACCAUAAAGGGAUUUCUUCAGAGCACAAACAAAUCCCUGUUUUACCUGUACGCCAUCAGGUGGAAGCAUAAAAAGUGAUUCAUUUAGAGAUCCGUACAGAAAAGCAGUAUUAAUAUCAUGGUGACUAAUGUGUAGAUUUUCCUCUGCAGCUAGCUUGAGCAUAAGCCUAAUGCUUUCAUACCUCACGUGGUUAUGGGCUCCAGAAGUCGAAUCGGAGUGCCGGCAAAGGAUCGGAAUGCAGAGGGACAGAUCGGAUCGGAAUCUGCUCUGCGCGUAAACAUGAUUGAUGAGGUAUGUGCUACUGCUCCGGGCAGCCUGCCAGCUUACAGUUAAUGGCUUUAUGGCUCUGGACUUUGAACUUUUAAAGCCGUUUUGCCGGGAAUAGGCAAAAGGCUCCCAGGCUACGUUACUAUGCUGGGGAAAUCGAAAGUAACUUUUAAGUGCGCUUUUGGAACAAAGCAGCUGCAGCAGUGACGCAGCAAGAUUUAAAGCAGCAUAUAUGACGCUGAAGGCUAAUGCCAGAGUCAUGAUGGCCCUUCAGGAUGCUUGUGGGAUUCCUAAGCUCAACAAGAAAAACUAUGCGGACUGGGUUCUGUAUGCAGAGGCAAUUCUGCGGAAAGAGGGUUUGUUUGCAGUGAUUACAGACACCCCCCCCAGCUCCAGUUACAGAUGAAUGGAGAGCUAAAGAUUCCAAAGCUAGGGGAACACUUACAUUGAUAGUAUCCCCAGAAGAGCUCUGUCUAUUGCGUGAUAAGACCUCAGCCAGAGAAAUUUGGCACGCUUUGAGAGAGGCUCACUUAA
Molecule: long non-coding RNA, 3109 nt
Organism: Podarcis muralis (Common wall lizard)
Lineage: Eukaryota; Metazoa; Chordata; Lepidosauria; Squamata; Lacertidae
Source: Ensembl